CGACAGGCAUUUUCGUCCAAGAUUGACUGAGAUAUGAGUGUUUACACUUUUGUUAGCAAAUUUGAAACGGUCACAAAUUAGCUAAAAACGGCCUAUUAAACUGAUUUUUAGCUAAUUUGUGACUGUUUCAAAAUUGUUAACAAAAGUUUAAACUCUUAUAUCUCAGUUAAUCUUGGACGAAUAUGCCUGUCA
This is a non-coding RNA of Paramuricea clavata, 192 nucleotides long. NCBI's taxonomy places the organism in Eukaryota, Metazoa, Cnidaria, Anthozoa, Malacalcyonacea, Plexauridae. The record is from the annotation of a GenBank genome assembly.